UACGGGGGGUGCAAACGUUGCUCGGAAUCAUUGGGCGUAAAGCGCACGUAGGCGGUCCAGAAGGUCGGGUGUGAAAGCCCUCGGCUCAACCGAGGAAGUGCAUUCGAAACCACUGAACUUGAGUAUGGAAGAGGGUCGCGGAAUUCCCGGUGUAGAGGUGAAAUUCGUAGAUAUCGGGAGGAACACCAGUGGCGAAGGCGGCGACCUGGGCCAAUACUGACGCUGAGGUGCGAAAGCGUGGGGAGCAAACAGG
This 253-nucleotide ribosomal RNA is filed under the name uncultured bacterium. RNAcentral's name for it is "partial 16S ribosomal RNA". It matches the Rfam family "Bacterial small subunit ribosomal RNA", at positions 524 to 776 of the family's 1533-position model. The record is from RNAcentral.